CCUACGGGAGGCAGCAGUGAGGAAUAUUGGUCAAUGGGCGUAAGCCUGAACCAGCCAAGUCGCGUGAGGGAUGAAGGUUCUAUGGAUCGUAAACCUCUUUUAUAAGGGAAUAAAGUGUGGGACGUGUCCUGUUUUGUAUGUACCUUAUGAAUAAGGAUCGGCUAACUCCGUGCCAGCAGCCGCGGGAAUACGGAGGAUCCGAGCGUUAUCCGGAUUUAUUGGGUUUAAAGGGUGCGUAGGCGGCCUUUUAAGUCAGCGGUGAAAGUCUGUGGCUCAACCAUAGAAUUGCCGUUGAAACUGGGAGGCUUGAGUAUGUUUGAGGCGGGCGGAAUGCGUGGUGUAGCGGUGAAAUGCGUAGAGAUCACGCAGAACCCCGAUUGCGAAGGCAGCCUGCCGAGCCAUGACUGACGCUGAUGCACGAAAGCGUGGGGAUCAAACAGGAUUAGAUACCCUGGUAGUC
This 460-nucleotide ribosomal RNA is filed under the name uncultured bacterium. Its description in RNAcentral is "partial 16S ribosomal RNA". It matches the Rfam family "Bacterial small subunit ribosomal RNA", at positions 338 to 795 of the family's 1533-position model. The record is from RNAcentral.